GUAGUCCACGCCGUAAACGAUGGGCACUAGAUGCUUGGGGGAGCGACCCCCUGAGUGUCGUCGCUAACGCAGUAAGUGCCCCGCCUGGGGAGUACGGCCGCAAGGCUGAAACUCAAAGGAAUUGACGGGGGCCCGCACAAGCGGUGGAGCAUGUGGUUUAAUUCGACGCAACGCGAAGAACCUUACCUAGGCUUGACAUGCAGGAGAAACGUCUGAGAAACCAGGCGCCCUCUUCGGAGUUCCUGCACAGGUGCUGCAUGGCUGUCGUCAGCUCGUGUCGUGAGAUGUUGGGUUAAG
RNAcentral lists this ribosomal RNA (297 nucleotides) under uncultured bacterium. RNAcentral's name for it is "partial 16S ribosomal RNA". It matches the Rfam family "Bacterial small subunit ribosomal RNA", at positions 790 to 1084 of the family's 1533-position model. The record is from RNAcentral.